GGGUCACUGAGGCGGUGGGGGCUGGUGGCCGGGAGGAGGCGGGUAAGAGGCGAGAAGGACAUGGCCGGGGGGGCAUGUGGACUAGGCUGGGGAUGAGGGCCGGGUCUCCAGGAGCCUCUGGGGGGUCAGCCCAGGAGACUCGGUGAUGGCUUGUGGGUCAACAGCCCUCCUGGAGGAAGUGAGGGCGCAGGUCCCCCGAGCCCGGCCUGGGGACCACCAGGGUCCCCGGUUUCCACCAUGAGGCCCUGCCUCGAGCAGGUGCCUCCGGGUACCAGCAGCUGGCCAGCUUGCCCAAAGGGCGCAGCCACGCCACCCGGCCGGGUCUGGCCCAUUCUGAGCACUGGCCCUGGUCCCGUUUCCUGGACUCCCCGAGAAUCCCAUCUCUGUGCUAAUGAUCCCCCAAAGUGUCUCUUCCCACCCAGGUACGGGCCUGCCCAAGCCCAUCACCCAGCCUCCCGGGACCCCCCAGGCCCCUGCAGCCCCCAGGUCUUUUGUAUGGGCAGGCUGCUUUCCGGGCGAGGGUGAGAACUAUUGCCCAUAUUUGACGAUGAUUAUCCUGAACUGUCCCCUAUUCUUUUCUCCUAAAUGCAUUAUUUUCAGGAAAUUCUAUGUUGUAAGCUGGGAGUUGGCAAACGUCAGUCCUCGGGCCAAACCCGGCCCGCUGCCAUUUUCUGUAAAUAAAGUUGCGUUGGUGCGCAG
This 699-nucleotide long non-coding RNA is filed under the name Dasypus novemcinctus (nine-banded armadillo). RNAcentral describes it as "lncRNA (ENSDNOG00000050369.1)". The record is from RNAcentral. Lineage: Eukaryota; Metazoa; Chordata; Mammalia; Cingulata; Dasypodidae.